This is a long non-coding RNA of Mus musculus (house mouse), 1860 nucleotides long. RefSeq annotates it as predicted gene, 34880. The transcript has 3 exons. The record is from RefSeq and is a predicted model, not a curated record. Lineage: Eukaryota; Metazoa; Chordata; Mammalia; Rodentia; Muridae.
GUAGGGAAAAAGAAAAAGAUACAAAAUGAAGGCUGCAAGGAGGAGUGUGUUCUGGGAUGGACCAGAAAUCUGAGUCCUGAAACCUGGAGGCUGCUCCUGUAGCUGUCACCUCUCUCCUUCCCUCCCUCUUUCUUUCUCCGAGGCCUUGGGGGGGGGGCCCUCCCUAUCCAAUUAGCAGAGAAGGAGCAAUCAAGGGGAAGUUGUUAAUUUGCUGAUGCUCAUUAGGAGCUCUUAACACAGAGGCUGUUGAGGUCUGAUGGUGUCAGAUGAUGGUGUGGUGUGUGUGUGUGUGUGUGUGUGUGUGUGUGUGUGUGUGAUGCAAGAUCAGAAUUAUAUCCAUUGCAGCUCCUUUGCUCCACUUACAGGCUGGUGAAGCUCUGAGAGAAGGAAGGUGAGAAGCAGGUCUCAGGGACAUGGUUCUGGGUUUGAGUUUGAGGAAUGAACCUGACAUAGAGGGAAGAAGCUGAUGAGAAUUUGUGAGGGGUUGGGAGUAAGAGGUACCCUAGAAACCAGUGAAGAUGUCUCUCCAGGGAUAGGGGUUUAGGUCUGGUGAGAGAUUGAGGUCCAUUCAGCAGGACCCAGAGCGCCAAGCUGCCAAAAUAAAGAUAGUAUCUCGCCUUCCGGCUGGGGAGCUGUCCAACGGCACAAGCGCUGCUGGUGGGCUGCCAUGCCCCUGGGCAGCCACCAGGUGACAGCACUCUCUCGGAUACUUAAACUCCACUUAAAGGGCAAUGGGGGAGGCGGCCUGUGAAACUAGGAAUUACUCUAGGAGGGUCGCAAACGGGGUUUAAGUGAUGAUUCUAGCCCUGGGUCUAGUCUGGUUCCAGGCUCUCCAAUGUCCUCGGGGGAGGGGAGGACCAUCUUGGAACAUCUGUAACAUCUUUGCAAACCCCACAAGCUGAGCGACACGUGGAGCCUCUUCUAAUGGCUGCAAAUUGCUUCAAUCACCUGGGAUGUUACCGAGGGAGCAGGGAGCAGCGUGGGUGGAGGGAAGGAAGGUGAUGAGGUGAGGUGGCGGCAGGCGAGGACUGAUUGAGGCCAAUGAACAGCCGCAGGAGUAGUCCGGGGAAAGAUAAAAGGCAUGAAUCAGGUAUCCAGGCUCCAAGAACAGGACCUGACCCCACCACGCAAUACCACCGGCAGGACCCUUGGCCAGUCCAAGCUUCAGUUUCUUCAUCCUUAUGAUGAAGGUUGUAUUUAUUUCACCUUGUUUUUCAAUGAUUAUGUGAAUCACUGAUGGAAAAUGCAUAGUUCAUUGAUCUGUGUUUGUAAAUCCCCAGUAACAAAUGUUACUGGCACUCUGAUUUAGAUCUGGAAGAAAAAAAAAUAGCCAUAUCAGCCAUAUCAGGACAGACUUCGAGAUGGUAGCUCCUAAUUCGGGGAGUUGGGUCCUCCCUGUACUCCUGUCUGGCCUUCUCUACAUCCUUUUGAACCUGUUUCACAUGGGGUGUUGCAGAAUAAGCAGGGGUUGCCUUGAUUUCCAGAGGAGAGAGUACUCUGGAUAAGGCCUGCAGGAACCGGAGGAAGAGGGUGUUGCAAGCCAAAUUUCAUCAUCGGCGGCAGCCCCAACAGAGGGAGGAGGAGGCGAGGGGCAAACAGACGGCAGAGGCAGCAGCGCUGGCGCAGAAAGGGGAGCUGUUUGGAAACAGGGUGUAGGGUGGCCCUAUCAGCCUCGUCACGCAUAAGGCUGCCUGUGGAGAGCUGGAACUCUCUGCCCACGUGGAACACGCGUGGGCACACGUGUGUGACACCUAGAGCUUGGGGGCACACGGGCACACACUUCUUUAGAAGCUGACAGCAUCCUGAUCCUUGCCUAGCAUCGGUCUCGAAAAGAGUCCCCCCCCCAAAAAAAAAAAAAAA